Molecule: transfer RNA, 73 nt
Filed under: Bradyrhizobium sp.
Lineage: Bacteria; Pseudomonadati; Pseudomonadota; Alphaproteobacteria; Hyphomicrobiales; Nitrobacteraceae
Also listed under: 4 other names
Description: tRNAThrCGT
Rfam family: tRNA
About the family: Transfer RNA (tRNA) molecules are approximately 80 nucleotides in length.
Source: RNAcentral
GCCGCAAUAGCUCAGUUGGUAGAGCACGUCAUUCGUAAUGACGGGGUCGGGGGUUCGAAUCCCUCUUGCGGCA